This 316-nucleotide unclassified non-coding RNA is filed under the name Streptomyces sp. 286. Its description in RNAcentral is "16S-23S ribosomal RNA intergenic spacer". The record is from RNAcentral. Lineage: Bacteria; Bacillati; Actinomycetota; Actinomycetes; Kitasatosporales; Streptomycetaceae.
AAGGAGCAAUUCUUGACUUCCGGCCCUCGGGCUUGGUGGUCCAAAGGCCAGUUCUUCAGGGAAGUUUGGAUGCGGGUUGUUCAUGGGGGGAACGUUGCUUUUUCGCCCCCUUGGUUUGCUUUGGCUUUGAAUUAUUGUUUGGGGGGGGAAACCAUUUCAGGGGGUUGGGGUGUUCGGCCCCGUUGUGGGGUUUUGGGGGGGGCGGCCAGGUGGGGCUUUUUUUUUCGGUUCCGGCCCCCGGAUUAGUUCUCUUCGUCGGGUUGUGACGGGUGGUUGGUCGUUGUUUGAGAACUGCACAGUGGACGCGAGCAUCUGU